Long non-coding RNA from Nicotiana attenuata, 212 nucleotides. RefSeq lists it as uncharacterized. The record is from RefSeq and is a predicted model, not a curated record. The transcript is spliced from 3 exons. Lineage: Eukaryota; Viridiplantae; Streptophyta; Magnoliopsida; Solanales; Solanaceae.
UACCCACCAGACUCUGCUGGAUAAUCAGCAAGUGCAAAUGUUGACGGAGAAGGCUCGACUCCGUAAUGCUGAUGCUCAGUUCAAGGAGCAAGAGGUUCUUAAGCUGAAGCAACAGCUAAAUGAGUUCAUAGAGGAGAGGAAAGGAUGGAUUGAGGAAAUUGAGAGAAAACAAGCAGAGAUGGUGGCUGCACAGAUUGCACUAGAAAAACUGC